This is a non-coding RNA of Coturnix japonica (Japanese quail), 1148 nucleotides long. Lineage: Eukaryota; Metazoa; Chordata; Aves; Galliformes; Phasianidae. The record is from RefSeq and is a predicted model, not a curated record.
CGUUCUGGAAGGGUGAGGGGCACGGGUGGGGGGUUGUGCCCCGGUUCCUGGGGUGGCAGUGCCCCACUGAUCCCAGCCCAGCACGGGACAACCAGGGCUUCGCUGGAGCUCAGCCUGCAGUACGGACAUGGACACAGCGAAGGCUUCCUGCACAUACAGCCGUCCCACUGCAUUCUCCAUGUUGCCAUUGACAUAGUUGGCACAGCGACGCCAAACAGCAGUUUCUGAUGUGGUGCCAUACAGAGCCUGUCAGACAGAUACAUCAGAGAGAACAGUGACUUCAGGGCGCAUGGAAGCUGCAGUGAAAAGUUGUUCUGGAGUUGUGCCAGCGUCAUUUUGUUGUACAUCAGAAGUGGAUCAUUUCUAUCUUCAGACUUCGUUGUUGCCUAUCAAAGUUAACAAGGAGAUUGAGUCAGUUCACAGGAAUCUUGGAAUAUGACAUUGAAAAUGAGCACUGUGAGAGAUUAAAAAGGCUGCAGUGGAAUCGGAAAAUUGAUCUGAUCGUUUUUCAAACCCCAACAUGAGCUUUCAUGAUGGCAGAAAAAUCCUUUUUCGGGCCUUACUGUAGAAUGACGUUAGCUGGGCAGCCUAUAAAACACACAGCUUUUCCUGGACAUGAAGACUAAUUCUGCCUCUCCUCAAACAGCAACAUGGCAUCUUAAAGAGCUAUUAGCAGUCAAGAGUCUCCUUAUAGGCAUCUUCAGAGGCACAGCGUUUCAGCACACGCUGUAGCACUGCCUGAAUGCUGACUUGGGGAUGAGGAAGAGCUGUUUUCUGGUUCACUGAAAUCAUUUUCUGCUGCUGGAGGUGUUUUUUGGAGAGUCUGCUUCUGAGUCUUGAGCCAGCCUGACCCUGAUGACUUUAUAAGACUCGGCAAUAUCACGUCAUGAGGUUUUACAUUACAAAGGGAAUUAUUUGGGAUAGCAGAUCACAUGCCUCCAUGGGCUGCAUUUGUCUACACUGAGCUAGCAACAUUAUGUGGUUGUCAUUUUGUUUAAAAGUACAGACAUAUAUUUAAAACAUGGGUAUGUUUGUUCUUACCUGACUUGAUGCAGUCUGAUGUCUUGCAAACCCCAUCUAGGAAACAAAGCAAUCAUACCUUUAACUUCUACUCAAUGUCAAUACAAUAAAAGCUACUGUAAAUUUUA